Molecule: ribosomal RNA, 199 nt
Filed under: uncultured bacterium
Lineage: Bacteria
Description: partial 16S ribosomal RNA
Rfam family: Bacterial small subunit ribosomal RNA
Source: RNAcentral
ACGCUCGACACCUACGGGGGGCAGCAGUGGGGAAUAUUGCACAAUGGGGGAAACCCUGAUGCAGCGACGCCGCGUGAGUGAAGAAGUAUUUCGGUAUGUAAAGCUCUAUCAGCAGGGAAGAAGAUGACGGUACCUGAGUAAGAAGCCCCGGCUAACUACGUGCCANCAGCCGCGGUAAUCUGAGGCGGGCUGGCAAGGC